This is an unclassified non-coding RNA of Pongo abelii (Sumatran orangutan), 300 nucleotides long. It matches the Rfam family "Metazoan signal recognition particle RNA". From Rfam's summary of the family: The signal recognition particle (SRP) is a universally conserved ribonucleoprotein. It is involved in the co-translational targeting of proteins to membranes. The eukaryotic SRP consists of a 300-nucleotide 7S RNA and six proteins: SRPs 72, 68, 54, 19, 14, and 9. NCBI's taxonomy places the organism in Eukaryota, Metazoa, Chordata, Mammalia, Primates, Hominidae. The record is from Ensembl.
GCCAGGCAUGGUGGCAGGUGCCUGUAGUCUCAGCUACUUGGGAGGCUGAGGCAGGAGGAUCACUAGAGCCCAGGAGUUCUGGGCUAUAGUGUACUAUGCCCAUCGGGUAUCUGCACUAAGUUCAACGUUAUUAUGGUGACCUCCGGGGAGCAAGGAACCACCAGGCUGCCUAAGGAGUGGUGAACUGGCCCAGGUAGGAAACAGAGAAGGUCAAAACUCCCGUGCUGAUCAGUAGUGGGAUCGCACCUGUGAAUAGCCACUGUACUCCAGCCUGGGCAACAUAGUGAGACCCUGUCUCUA